UUUCCGUAGGUGAACCUGCGGAAGGAUCAUUAUUGUAUAACCGAGGUGCGAGGGCUGUCGCUGACCGGACAGGUCGUGCACGCCCGAGUGCCCUCACACACAUCCAUCUCACCCCUAUGUGCACCACCGCGUGGGUCCCCCUUUGGCUUGUUCGGAGGGGGGCUUACGUUUUCACACAAACUUUGUAUGCAGUGUAGAAUGUAUUUUUUGUUUUUGCGAUCACGCAAUCAAUACAACUUUCAACAACGGAUCUCUUGGCUCUC
This 263-nucleotide unclassified non-coding RNA is filed under the name plant metagenome. Its description in RNAcentral is "partial contains small subunit ribosomal RNA, internal transcribed spacer 1, and 5.8S ribosomal RNA". The record is from RNAcentral.